CUACUUACCUGGCAGGAGAGAUACCAUCAUCACAAAUUAUCCAUUGCACUCCAGAUGUGCUGACCCCUAUGAUUUCCCCAAAUGUGGGAAACCCGACUUCAUAAUUUGUGGUAUUGAGGGACUGUGUUCAUGUUCUCCCCUG
RNAcentral lists this small nuclear RNA (142 nucleotides) under Carlito syrichta (Philippine tarsier). RNAcentral describes it as "U1 spliceosomal RNA (ENSTSYG00000033667.1)". It matches the Rfam family "U1 spliceosomal RNA". Rfam says of the family: U1 is a small nuclear RNA (snRNA) component of the spliceosome (involved in pre-mRNA splicing). Its 5' end forms complementary base pairs with the 5' splice junction, thus defining the 5' donor site of an intron. There are significant differences in sequence and secondary structure between metazoan and yeast U1 snRNAs, the latter being much longer (568 nucleotides as compared to 164 nucleotides in human). Lineage: Eukaryota; Metazoa; Chordata; Mammalia; Primates; Tarsiidae. The record is from RNAcentral.